Molecule: long non-coding RNA, 746 nt
Organism: Salvia miltiorrhiza (redroot sage)
Lineage: Eukaryota; Viridiplantae; Streptophyta; Magnoliopsida; Lamiales; Lamiaceae
Exons: 4
Source: RefSeq, a predicted model, not a curated record
GAAUAUUUUACCGAGAGAAUCAUUCCCUCGGUAAAUGUCUCUUUAAUUUUUAGUCAGAUUAAAUUAGUUUUAGAUUUAUAGUUUUAAUUUUACCGAGUAAUUUAUUCCCUCGGCAAAUGGUCUAGUCUGUAAGAUAAAACUACAAUUAUACCGCUGCCGGCUUGCCGGCUUUCUUCUCAUAAUAUUUCUCAUCCCCAAAUUAAAAGCCCUAGUCAAGGCUGUCGUUCUUCUCUUUCGCGGCUGCCGUUCACCACCCCACCUCCGAUUCUAUUUGCAGAAUGACCUCAAAAUCAAUCUGAUUGAUCGGCACGACAUUCCCCGCCACAAAGUGAAUAAGGUGAUUAAUAAAUCUUUUAUAUAUUUUGAGUCUGGAAUGCAGUCAAUUGUUGAUGGAGAACUUCGACUUAUUUGUGUAGGUGGAAACAAUUCAGAGGCAGAGGCUCAGGAAACUGAACGCCGGUGAAGCGAAAAAGAAGAAGAAAACUGACCUCUGCUCAUGCGGCUGCUAAGGGAAGGAUAAUUUGAUGGUUACCAAUGGUUGCCUUAAAGCUUACAAAAUACAAACUGAUCUUCCAUAGAGGAGAAGGUAAUUGAUGAGGUAUAUGAUGAAUAAUCUGAGGUUGCUGAUCGUCUACGGAUUAGGGUAAGAUAUUUCACUAGCUUUCCUCUAAUAUUCUAUAGUGGGUAUUUGUGGAUAGCAAUAGAUAUGAGUUUCUAUAAUUAAAUGGCCAGGGAAGUAUUUUUUU